AACAUGCCCCUUGGUUUGCCCCCAAAUAGAGGACAUGAGCAUGCUAUUAACCUGAAACAUGGCACGAAUCCAGUAAGUGUCAGGCCAUAUAGAUAUCCUCAGUCACAAAAAGAUGAAAUUGAACAGCUCAUUCAUGAUAUGUUAGCUGCUGGCAUCAUACAACCCUCCCAUAGUGCUUUCUCUAGUCCGGUCUUACUUGUGAAAAAGAAAGAUGGCUCUUGGAGAUUUUGUGUUGAUUAUAGAGCUCUUAACAAUGUGACCGUACCCGAUAAAUACCCAAUUCCCGUGAUUGAUGAAUUACUUGAUGAGUUGCAUGGGGCUUGCAUUUUCUCGAAAUUAGAUUUAAAAUCGGGGUAUCAUCAAAUUAAAAUGAAGCCUAGUGAUGUGCAUAAAACGGCUUUUAGAACUCAUGAGAGACACUAUGAGUUUUUAGUGAUGCCGUUUGGGCUCACUAAUGCACCCGCAACCUUUCAAGCUCUUAUGAAUGCGGUUUUUAAACCUUAUUUGAGGAAGUUUGUCCUGGUCUUUUUUGAUGACAUCUUAGUUUAUAGUGCAAAUAUGGAGCAACAUAUGCAUCAUUUGGAUAUUGUUCUGGGGUUGUUGGCAGCUAACCACUUGUUUGCCAAUUUAAAAAAAUGUGAAUUCGGCAAAGGCAAGGUAGCUUACUUGGGGCAUAUAAUAUCUGAAAAGGGAGUAGCCAUGGACCCCUCCAAGGUCCAAGCUAUGUUGGAGUGGCCUAUUCCUUCUACAUUGCGGGACCUCAGAGGCUUUUUGGGCCUCACAGGAUACUACCGAAGAUUUGUUCGAGGUUAUGCCUCCAUUGCACAGCCACUCACAGAUCAAUUAAAAAAAGACUCUUAUGGAUGGUCUCCUGCAGCAACACAGGCUUUUGACAAGUUGAAACAAGCUCUCACUAGUGCCCCUGUACUCCAGAUGCCAAAUUUCAACCUACCCUUCAUCAUUGAGGCUGACGCAUCUGGAUUUGGUUUAGGGGCUGUUUUGCUCCAACAGGGCCACCCUAUUGCUUAUUUCAGCAAGACAUUGGGAGAGAGAGCUCGAGCCAAGUGCAUUUAUGAAAAGGAGCUCAUGGCCGUAGUUUUGGCAGUACAAAAAUGGAAGCAUUUCUUACUGGGAAGGCACUUCACCAUACAUUCUGAUCAGCAAAGUCUCCGGCAUUUGGUUAACCAAAGGGAAAUUGGUCCUGCAUAUCAAAAAUGGGUAGGGAAAUUACUUGGAUUUGAUUUCGACAUCAAAUACAAGCCGGGCAGCCACAAUAAAGUUGCGGACGCCCUCUCUAGGAGGCAGCACUUAGAGAUAGAAUGCCACUCUCUCACUUCCUCUCAUUCACCCCACUGGGAAUUGCUCUCUCAAGCUAUCCACCAGGACCCGGAAUUACAGCAACUUAAGUCUGAAGUGGCAGCUGGCAGACCUCCUCUACCUGGGUUUACUGUGGAACACCAGUUGCUCAAGUAUAAGGGAAGGAUAGUCCUUCCUAGGAAUUCCUCAAUCACUGCGAUCCUAAUGGAGGAGUAUCACUCCUCACCUUUGGGGGGUCAUUCAGGCAUUUUUAAAACAUACCAGAGGCUAGCCGGUGAAUGGUACUGGAGGGGUAUGAAAAAAGAUGUGGCGACCUUUGUGCAGCACUGUCAAGUUUGUCAGCAAUACAAAACCUCCACAUUAAAGCCAGCGGGUCUCCUUCAACCUCUUCCCAUUCCUCAACAAAUUUGGGAGGAUAUAUCCAUGGAUUUCGUGGAGGGGCUACCCAAGUCUCAAGGGUGGGACACUAUCCUAGUUGUGGUGGAUAGAUUGUCCAAGUAUGGACAUUUCAUACUUCUCAAACACCCCUUUAAUGCCGCAUCCGUGGCUGCUGUUUUCAUUAGGGAGGUGGUUAAAUUACAUGGCUUCCCCACUACUAUAGUCUCGGACAGAGAUAAAGUUUUCAUGAGCCUUUUUUGGAAGGAACUCUUUAAACUACAAGGCACAUCCUUGCAUAGAAGCACUGCGUACCACCCGCAAUCUGAUGGCCAGACGGAAGUGGUUAACAAAUCCCUCGAAGCUUACCUCAGAUGCUUUUGUAAUGGCAAGCCUAAGAGUUGGGCCACUUGGUUACCAUGGGCUGAGUAUUGGUAUAAUACCUCCACUCAUGCCUCCACUCACUACACUCCUUACAAAGUGGUUUAUGGAAGGGACCCUCCCCCACUGAUCCGGUUUGAACAAGGCAGUACAGCUGUUUCAUCUUUGGAAGAUCAGCUGCUGGACAGAGACGCAAUCUUGGAUGAAUUAAAAUUUCAUCUCCUUAAAGCUCAGAAUAGUAUGAAGCAACAAGAAGACAAGAAGAGAAGAGCUGUCCAAUUUGAACCUGAUGAGCUGGUUUAUCUGAAGCUCCAGCCUUACAGACAUCACUCUUUGGCUAAGGCAAGAAAUGAGAAACUUGCCCCCAGGUUUUAUGGACCUUUUCCCGUGCUCAAGAGGAUUGGUCAGGUGGCCUAUCAACUUCUUCUGCCUCCAGGUGCCAAACUCCACCCAGUCUUUCAUGUCUCUCAGCUUAAAAAGGCUUUGGGCAAUGUGCCAGUUUCACCUACUCUUCCUACUCAACUCACUGCUGAUUUGGUCCUGCAUACUCAGCCAGAGGCUCUUUUGGAUGUCAGACAACCACCUCACCAGCCUGCAGCUACUGAGGUCCUUAUCAAGUGGGCUGACCUACCUACUUUUGAAGCUACUUGGGAGGAUGCUGGGUUGUUAACUGCUCGUUUCCCUGACUUCCACCUUGAGGACAAGGUGCUUCUUUGGGAGGGGGGUAUUGCUAGACGACCUCCUAUCAUUCAUACUUAUUCUAGAAGGAGAGGGAAACUCACUAAGGGCACAGGGGUCAUUUCCACUCACAACACAGCUGGCGUUGCUAGAGAGGAUUAGAAGGAUUAUUCUCUGAGGGAUGUUAUAACAGAUUCUGUUAGGCAAAGUAUGAGGUGGCAGGUGCCUUAGAUAUUUUGUAAUGCUGUGUAUAUAAAUAGGAGCUGAGCUCACAGCAGGGGUAUCCAGAAAUUACUAGAGGAAGUUAUAUGUAGAGGAGAGACCUUGCCUCUCGAAUGCAAGGGUUGUAAUUGAGUGAUUUCCUUAAUACAACCUAUCCUUGGGCUCAUAGUUUACUGUGUUCAUUGCUUAAAUAUUCAUACUUUGGGUCUUAGCACUGUCCUUUAGCGACCUUUUUGGUGAUAAAUUCGACAAACAAAAACUUUUGUAGGACAUAUUUUAAAAAGUGACUUGUUAAAGAGAUAUCAUGCCACUGUUACUGUUCUGCAUGCAUUUACGAAGAACCCAGAAACGAUUGCACGUGAGGCUGAUAUUGUGGUUGCUGCUGUUGGUAUGCCAAACUUAGUUCGUGGAAGCUGGCUCAAGCCAGGUGCUGUAG
RNA transcript from Beta vulgaris subsp. vulgaris (sugar beet), 3409 nucleotides. It is a transcript of the gene named bifunctional protein FolD 1, mitochondrial, with no coding region annotated. The record is from RefSeq and is a predicted model, not a curated record. NCBI's taxonomy places the organism in Eukaryota, Viridiplantae, Streptophyta, Magnoliopsida, Caryophyllales, Amaranthaceae. The transcript is spliced from 2 exons.